ACUUGCUUCGGGGGAAUGUCCCUGUACUUACUGUAAGUCGCUCUGGAUAAGAGCGUCUGCUAAAUGACUAAAUGUAAAUCUAACCGUGCCAAGCUAACACCACUUGUUAGCACAGUGAAGCUAACCUUAACAGUCAACAAA
Molecule: long non-coding RNA, 141 nt
Organism: Osmerus eperlanus (European smelt)
Lineage: Eukaryota; Metazoa; Chordata; Actinopteri; Osmeriformes; Osmeridae
Exons: 2
Source: RefSeq, a predicted model, not a curated record